This 224-nucleotide long non-coding RNA is filed under the name Lathyrus oleraceus (garden pea). Its description in RNAcentral is "Pisum sativum (pea) long non-coding RNA (PSAT_LNC019437)". The record is from RNAcentral. Lineage: Eukaryota; Viridiplantae; Streptophyta; Magnoliopsida; Fabales; Fabaceae.
AUCUUGAAAGAGAAGGCAAGUGCAUAAUAAGAGAUCAUACAAAAAGAUAAAUAGUAUGUAUGUUCCUUAAAAAAGAAAAAAAAAAGAAAAAAAAGAAAAACAAAAGAGAAAAAUGCACUUGUCGAGACUUAAGACUCUAGCACAUAUAAAAUGCUGGAAAAAUUUGAGUAGAAAAAGAGUCAAAAGAGUGAAAUUAACCCCCAGAGUAUACGUGAUGCACGAGA